GACGAACGCUGGCGGCGUGCUUAACACAUGCAAGUCGAACGGAAAGGCCCUGCUUUUGUGGGGUUCUCGAGUGGCGAACGGGUGAGUAACACGUGAGUAACCUGCCCUUGACUGUGGGAUAACUUCAGGAAACUGGGGCUAAUACCGGAUAGGAUCUCCUGCUGCAUGGUGGGGGUUGGAAAGUUUCGGUGGUUGGGGAUGGACUCGCGGGUUAUCAGCUGGUUGGUGGGGUAGUGGCGUACCAAGGCUUUGACGGGUAGGCGGCCUGGGAGGGUGGCCGGCCACCAUGGGACUGAGAGACGGACCAGAAUGCUACGGGCGGCAGCGGUGGAAAGUAUUGCACAGUGAGGGGAAGCCUGAUGCAGCAACGCCGCGUGCGGGAUGACGGCCUUCGGGUUGUAAACCGCUUUCGCCUGAGACGAGGCGUGAGUGACGGUAAUGAGUAAAGAAGCAACGGCUAACUACGUG
RNAcentral lists this ribosomal RNA (468 nucleotides) under uncultured bacterium. Its description in RNAcentral is "partial 16S ribosomal RNA". It matches the Rfam family "Bacterial small subunit ribosomal RNA", at positions 28 to 507 of the family's 1533-position model. The record is from RNAcentral.